This 301-nucleotide ribosomal RNA is filed under the name uncultured bacterium. RNAcentral describes it as "partial 16S ribosomal RNA". It matches the Rfam family "Bacterial small subunit ribosomal RNA", at positions 509 to 807 of the family's 1533-position model. The record is from RNAcentral.
CAGCAGCCGCGGGAAUACGUAGGUGGCAAGCGUUGUCCGGAAUUAUUGGGCGUAAAGGGCUCGCAGGCGGUUUCUUAAGUCUGAUGUGAAAGCCCCCGGCUCAACCGGGGAGGGUCAUUGAAAACUGGGAAACUUGGGUGCAGAAGAGGAGAGUGGAAUUCCACGUGUAGCGGUGAAAUGCGUAGAGAUGUGGAGGAACACCAGUGGCGAAGGCGACUCUCUGGUCUGUAACCGACGCUGAGGAGCGAAAGCGUGGGGAGCGAACAGGAUUAGAGACCCCCGUAGUCCCUGUCUCUUAUAC